UUAUUUGGAAGUAAAAAGUGUAACAAGGUCUCCGUAGGUGAACCUGCGGAGGGAUCAUUACACAAAUAUGAAGGCGGGCUGGAACCUCUCGGGGUUACAGCCUUGCUGAAUUAUUCACCCUUGUCUUUUGCGUACUUCUUGUUUCCUUGGUGGGUUCGCCCACCACUAGGACAAACAUAAACCUUUUGUAAUUGCAAUCAGCGUCAGUAACAAAUUAAUAAUUACAACUUUCAACAACGGAUCUCUUGGUUCUGGCAUCGAUGAAGAACGCAGCGAAAUGCGAUAAGUAGUGUGAAUUGCAGAAUUCAGUGAAUCAUCGAAUCUUUGAACGCACAUUGCGCCCUUUGGUAUUCCAAAGGGCAUGCCUGUUCGAGCGUCAUUUGUACCCUCAAGCUUUGCUUGGUGUUGGGCGUCUUGUCUCUAGCUUUGCUGGAGACUCGCCUUAAAGUAAUUGGCAGCCGGCCUACUGGUUUCGGAGCGCAGCACAAGUCGCACUCUCUAUCAGCAAAGGUCUAGCAUCCAUUAAGCCUUUUUUUCAACUUUGACCUCGGAUCAGGUAGGGAUCCCCGAC
This 571-nucleotide ribosomal RNA is filed under the name Alternaria alternata. RNAcentral describes it as "eukaryotic LSU rRNA". The stretch from base 226 to 379 matches the Rfam family "5.8S ribosomal RNA". Lineage: Eukaryota; Fungi; Ascomycota; Dothideomycetes; Pleosporales; Pleosporaceae. The record is from RNAcentral.